This 274-nucleotide ribosomal RNA is filed under the name uncultured bacterium. RNAcentral describes it as "partial 16S ribosomal RNA". It matches the Rfam family "Bacterial small subunit ribosomal RNA", at positions 523 to 796 of the family's 1533-position model. The record is from RNAcentral.
AUACGGAGGGUGCAAGCGUUAAUCGGAAUUACGGGGCGUAAAGCGCGCGUAGGCGGUUUGAUCAGUCGGAUGUGAAAGCCCUGGGCUCAACCUGGGAACUGCAUUCGAUACUGUCAGACUAGAAUAUGGUAGAGGGUAGUGGAAUUCCUGGUGUAGCGGUGAAAUGCGUAGAUAUCAGGAGGAACAUCAGUGGCGAAGGCGGCUACCUGGACCAAUAUUGACGCUGAGGUGCGAAAGCGUGGGGAGCAAACAGGAUUAGAAACCCUAGUAGUCC